Molecule: ribosomal RNA, 674 nt
Filed under: uncultured bacterium
Lineage: Bacteria
Description: bacterial SSU rRNA
Rfam family: Bacterial small subunit ribosomal RNA
Source: RNAcentral
GAGUUUGAUCCUGGCUCAGGAUGAACGCUGGCGGCGUGCCUAAUACAUGCAAGUCGAACGAAACUUCUUUAUCACCGAGUGCUUGCACUCACCGAUAAAGAGUUGAGUGGCGAACGGGUGAGUAACACGUGGGCAACCUGCCCAAAAGAGGGGGAUAACACUUGGAAACAGGUGCUAAUACCGCAUAACCAUAGUUACCGCAUGGUAACUAUGUAAAAGGUGGCUAUGCUACCGCUUUUGGAUGGGCCCGCGGCGCAUUAGCUAGUUGGUGGGGUAAAGGCUUACCAAGGCAAUGAUGCGUAGCCGAACUGAGAGGUUGAUCGGCCACAUUGGGACUGAGACACGGCCCAAACUCCUACGGGAGGCAGCAGUAGGGAAUCUUCCACAAUGGGCGAAAGCCUGAUGGAGCAACGCCGCGUGGGUGAAGAAGGUCUUCGGAUCGUAAAACCCUGUUGUUAGAGAAGAAAGUGCGUGAGAGUAACUGUUCACGUUCCGACGGUAUCUAACCAGAAAGCCACGGCUAACUACGUGCCAGCAGCCGCGGUAAUACGUAGGUGGCAAGCGUUAUCCGGAUUUAUUGGGCGUAAAGGGAACGCAGGCGGUCUUUUAAGUCUGAUGUGAAAGCCUUCGGCUUAACCGGAGUAGUGCAUUGGAAACUGGGAGACUUGAGUGCA